UGGAAAGAUUGCUUAGGAAGGUAUAUCCUAUCUGCAGAUUCCUUAGCCGUAAGUAAGCUGCAUUGAGAACAUACUUUGAUUGCGCUUUUCUGUUUUUCCAGUUUUCUGCACUGAAAUAAGGUUUCGGAAAAUAAGCGUCAGUAUUGGGCCCAAGGAUAUUCGUUUCAUUAGAAGGUCGCCAGUAGUCUAAAACAGGUGUGCCUUUGAGUACGGCGGAAUAACCCCAAAAGUCCUGCAACCCCCAAAACAUGAUAUUGUAAUCU
RNAcentral lists this unclassified non-coding RNA (263 nucleotides) under uncultured bacterium. RNAcentral describes it as "contains 16S-23S intergenic spacer region". The record is from RNAcentral.